Long non-coding RNA from Haliotis rubra (blacklip abalone), 1439 nucleotides. RefSeq lists it as uncharacterized. The record is from RefSeq and is a predicted model, not a curated record. NCBI's taxonomy places the organism in Eukaryota, Metazoa, Mollusca, Gastropoda, Lepetellida, Haliotidae. The transcript is spliced from 2 exons.
UGUACCCAUUAAUGCCGAGCGCCAGGCAGGGACCAUCAAUUGGCAACAGAAUAUCAUCUAAGAUUUUACAAAAACUAAUCACAACACGUACUUUCAGUUUACCUUAACUCGGUGCAUUGCCUGUUAAUGUUGUUCAUUGGGAUACUUGCAAACAGUAAAGUAUUCAGAAACCUGAUUUUUGUUUUUAUUGUUGAAAAUCCGGACUGGUAAUUUUUAAAAGUUACCAGUCCGGCUGUCUGGCUUGGAAUUUUGGGAGCUUUAAACACUGGCUAGAAGCGGCGUAAAACUAAACUCACUCACUCAUGAUCACGCACUCAUUUCUACAGUUGCCAGCCGAAUAUCAUCUGAAAUACCUAUCAAUACGCUAAGUGUUCAUUCCAUGUUCUACUUGUUGAUGUUUAUUGUAGCUGUACAUUAUUUACAUAUAUCAAAACACUAAUGAAAUCAAGUUAAUAAAAUCAUUACAACUGUAUGUUCCAAAUAAAUGAACUCGCGUGUCUUGUCACAAGAUGUGUGACAAUCUCCCAAAGUUUUAAAAAAUAAAUUUCAGCUACAAACUACACGAAAUUGCAAGUAAUCAGACAAGCUAUUACCAUCACUCUUUCAGAGUAACAUAUUAUAUAAUAAUUAUUUACUCUAGGGACAUGAAAUUUAUGAAUGUUAGUGUGUAUAUAUAUUAUCGACCGCAGCCCAUAAUAUCUGUAAAUGCAAUGAAAUAUCAGCGUUCGAAAUACCUGCCUGCCCGACCGCCCGGGACGGGUUAUUUUCAACACGGACAGACAGAUUCUCAAAUUCACCUGCCCGACGGUCGGGUUAAAAUUUAGACAUGUAUAUGAAGAUAUUUUGUGAACAGGUAAGUUUUGGUCUGGGCUGGCAAGUUCUACAUCUAACCAGCACUGUGGUCUGGCUGAAAGGUUUGAGAGUUUCAUACCCAGGAAAUAUAUAGAAUAUUGUUUUUAUGAAUUCUUGGUUUGUUUUCAUUCAUCCGUUUUGUAGAACUGUAUAUAGCUAGUGAGAUAUUUUUAAAUUAUUAUAUAAUUGUGUAUGAUAUUCAUUUACGAUGUUACCUAUGUAAAGUCUGUGACGUAGACUCCAUGUCUGUUAUAAAGUGCUGUAAUUAAAACUAUUCUAUCUAUUACGUUUCCUUUUGUGUUCAUUAUUAUGCCUGUUAUAUACAUUGUGAAUAUGUUUGUACAUAGUGCUUUAAACAAAUUAUAUUCAUUAUUCUAUAAAUUAGAUGAUAAACAUUUCGUUUUUCGUUUGUAUCCUCACUGUAGAUUCGACUCCCUGUAAUUGAAAUACAUGUUGCUGAGCAAUCCCAGCCUCCCAUUCUAUCAGUGUCGUUUAAAUUUCAGCCUUCAAUUCAAUACUAUUUUUUUCCUGCUCCAACAAUGUCACCCAUUUUUCGGUUAAAGUUCAGAUUAAACUGUUACCAAAUC